This 258-nucleotide long non-coding RNA is filed under the name Elaeis guineensis (African oil palm). RNAcentral's name for it is "long non-coding RNA (EGUI_LNC019846)". The record is from RNAcentral. Lineage: Eukaryota; Viridiplantae; Streptophyta; Magnoliopsida; Arecales; Arecaceae.
AACUAUGUGAUUUGAUUUAAUCAAAAUCAAUUAUUGUUUUGCCUAAUAUGUUCUGGAUGAAUGGAUAAUUUCAAUUCGAAUCGAAUAAUUCAUCACAUUCUAUAUAUAUUUAUAUUUUAUAAUAAUAAUUAAUAGGAGUACAUUUAUGUUUUUGCUUGACAAAUAUGAUAUUUUUUAGACAUUUUUGAUAAUAUCAAGCAUUAUUGUUAUGUUGAUAUUUGUAAUUUUCAGAGUUUUAGCACCAGUUAGUGAAGGACC